GGAUGGAUCAUUACAGAGAAUAAGGAUGAGAGUAUUGUGAAUAGAAGAAGAAGGAUGUAUGUGAGAGUGAGGCUUUGGCCUUGGCUCUCUACACUCAAAAAAAACGCCGCGUAUUUAUCUUGUACUGAAGUGUACUUUAAUGUAAAGUAAAGUAAAGACAACUUUUAGCAACGGAUCUCUUGGCUCUCGCAACGAUGAAGAACGCAGCGAAAUGCGAUAAGUAGUGUGAAUUGCAGAUACCGUGAAUCAUCAAGUCUUUGAACGCACAUUGCACUGUCUGGAACUCCGGGCAGUAUACCUGUUUGAGUAUCAGCCAACACUCCUAGCAUAGUUUCUUGGUAAAGGGGGCUUAGGUAGGGAUUUGAGCAAUCAUUUGGUGGUAGGUGGUGGGUACUAGGUACCUACCCUACCUGGCAUGUGUGGCUUUAAAUAGAGUUACAACUUCGGGCUGCUUUCAGCACCAACGAGUAGGUGACAGAGUUAAUGGGCAAAAUGCCUGUGGCUGUCUUCUGUAUGGUUGGUGGUGGUGGUGGUGAGCAAAGAAGUUGUUCCACUUGGAACACAGUGGUAAGUGCUGUGAUGUUGAUCUCAAAUCAGGUAAGAUUACCCGCUGAACUUAAGCAUAUUAAUAAGCGGAGGAAAAGAAACUAACCAGGAUUCCCUUAGUAACGGCGAGUGAAGCGGGAACAGCUCAAAUUUAAAAUCUCUUCGGAGAAUUGUAGUUUGUAGAGGUGCUUUCGUUGACGGCCUGGGUAUAAGUCCCUUGGAAGAGGGCAUCAUAGAGGGUGAGAAUCCCGUCUUUGAUCCGGUCACCGUCACAAUGUGAUGCACUCUCAAAGAGUCGGGUUGUUUGGGAAUGCAGCCCUAAGUGGGUGGUAUAUUUCAUCUAAAGCUAAAUAGUGGCGAGAGACCGAUAGCGAACAAGUACCGUGAGGGAAAGAUGAAAAGAACUUUGAAAAGAGAGUUAAAUAGUACGUGAAAUUGCUAAAAGGGAAACGAUUGAAAUCAGUGUUGGGCGGAGUAAAUCAGCUAGUCAGAAAUGGGUGGUGCACUUUACUUUGGCCAGGUCAACGUGAGUUUUGGUUGGGGGUAAAUUAGUAUGGGAAGGUGACUCCUUGGCGGGAGUGUUAUAGCCUGUAUGAGUGCCCUGACUGGGAUUGAGGAGAGCAGUGUAUGCCCGGUGAAGGGCUGGCGAACUAGGCAGUAUUAGUGGAGUGAUUAGUGGCAGCAUGCUGAGACUGGUUAAUACCGCUUGUACGUGGCUGGGUAGCACAAAUGCACUAAGGAUGUUGACGAAAUGGUUUUAAACGACCCGUUUUGAAACACGGACCAAGGAGUCUAACACAUGUGCGAGUGUUUGGGUGGGAAGCCCAGGCGCGUAAUGAAAGUAAACGUAGGUGGGAACCCCGGAUUAGCCGCAGUAGUGGUGGUAGGGGGUGCAGCAUCGACCGGUCUGGAUUAAUUUUAAUGAUAGAUCUGAGUAAGAGCAUAUAUGUUGGGACCCGAAAGAUGGUGAACUAUGCCUGAAUAGGGCGAAGCCAGAGGAAACUCUGGUGGAGGCUCGUAUCGGUACUGACGUGCAAAUCGUUCGUCAAAUUUGGGUAUAGGGGCGAAAGACUAAUCGAACCAUCUAGUAGCUGGUUCCCUC
This 1648-nucleotide unclassified non-coding RNA is filed under the name uncultured fungus. RNAcentral's name for it is "sequence contains 18S rRNA gene, ITS1, 5.8S rRNA gene, ITS2, 28S rRNA gene". The stretch from base 584 to 1648 matches the Rfam family "Eukaryotic large subunit ribosomal RNA", at positions 1 to 961 of the family's 3401-position model. Lineage: Eukaryota; Fungi. The record is from RNAcentral.